GAUGAACGCUGGCGGCGUGCCUAAUACAUGCAAGUCGAGCGAACAGAUGAUGAUCUUGCUCCUCUCACGUUAGCGGCAGACGGGUGAGUAACAUGUGUAUAACGUACCUAUAAUACUGGGAUAAUUUCGAGAAACCGGCUCUAAUCCCAGAUGAUAUAUUGAACCACGGGGUUCAAUAGUGAAUGACGGCUUUGCGGUCACUUAUAGCUGGAUCCGCGCCGCUUUAGCUAGUUGGUGAGGUAACGGGUUACGACGGCAACGAUGCGUAGCCGACGUGACAGGGUGGUCGGCCACCCUGGAACUGAGCCACGGUCCAGACUCCUACGGGAGGCAGCAGUAGGGUAUCUUCCGCAAUGGGCGAAAGUCUGACGGGGUAACGCCGCGUGAGUGAUGAAGGUGUUGGGUGCGUAAAGCUCUGUUACUAGGUAAGAACAAAUGUGUAAGUAACUAUGCACGUCUUGACGGUACCUAAUAAGAAAGCAACGGCUAACUACGUG
This 497-nucleotide ribosomal RNA is filed under the name uncultured bacterium. RNAcentral describes it as "partial 16S ribosomal RNA". It matches the Rfam family "Bacterial small subunit ribosomal RNA", at positions 28 to 507 of the family's 1533-position model. The record is from RNAcentral.